UUUAUAUCGAUAUUUCCUAACGCUGUCAAACAAUUAUCAACGCGAGUGUAACGUAACGCGGUUGUUUGUCAUGAUGCGCGUCAUCGAGACCGAUAACCGGUUGUUCGGUUCAUUACUCCAAAAUUGCGAGAGCAACUCUAGAUACGUAUCAAAUUUCCCUGACGUUGGACCGAGCCGUGGGGAACAGUGGAGUGACCACCUUCGCUCCAUUAGAUUUUUAUCUACGGAGGAAAUUAACCCUUUGCACUCGAGGCCUUUUUUCUGGUAUCUGCCAAGAGAAUAAAGUCAUCUUUAUCUCCCCGACAAUCAUUUUAUCGAUACUUCGAGCUCCAAAGAAAUUAUACCUAAAGAAACAUUAGGUAUUAUAGAUUUGCUGCGUGAAAAUUAAUGAUAACUGGGAGUCACCUCUCGAGCGCAAAGGGUUAAAACACGUUCAUCCACCGUAAUCUCACAACGGCACGGGAUACGAUGAAUUGCCGCAGCAUACGAAACUCAAGUAAACAAUAAUAUUUAUUAUUUCAUUUUGAAUCGAUGUUUCUCCGAAAGAAUUGCAACCUAAUUGUUUAAACUAAUUAGACGCGGUUAAUCCAUGAUCUGAUUACGCAUAAAGUGUUUAAAAGGUGGAUACCGUUUUUCUCUUUUACUUUCGACCACGAUUCUACGAAAAUUCGCUUAUGCGCAGCGUUCAAAAGAGAGGAGUGAACACGCCAGCUGGCCCAUCCAGCUGGUUACGCGCUCGAGCCCGGCAGAUGCAGCUGUCACGGUCGCGCCCGAUGCUGCCCAGCCUCGAAUACCAACCAGCGGCCUUCGAUUAUUUCCGUUGAACGAACGAUAAACAAGUGCGCAUAUCUAUAGAUUUAGGAGCUAAAAAUGAAACGGAACACGCGCAUAUCCCAUCACGACGACGAGUGGAAGGAAACGUCGGUAAAACUCGCGAGGAACGGAAUGCGAAGUAGCGACAGAGAGGAAAUCGACGGGGGAAGGGCGAGCAAGCACGGCGGUAGAAAUUAAUACUGGCAGCAGAGCGAAUCGCGGAGGGGAUGCGAAAAGGCAGCUGCGUAGCGACGCGAAGGGUCCACCGAAUCGUUCCACCUCGGAACGGGUCACAGGACAAACAACUCGGUGUUCUUCUCCAUGGCGCGCUUCAAGCUUCCUUCGAGGGCAUUGUAAUCCUGCUGCCGAUGGUCCAGAAGAGCGUUCACUUGCUCCCGCAGAGAUCGGAUCUCGUCG
Hylaeus anthracinus is the source of this 1230-nucleotide long non-coding RNA. RefSeq lists it as uncharacterized. The record is from RefSeq and is a predicted model, not a curated record. Lineage: Eukaryota; Metazoa; Arthropoda; Insecta; Hymenoptera; Colletidae. The transcript has 3 exons.